GGCCAGACUCCUACGGGAGGCAGCAGUGGGGAAUAUUGCACAAUGGGGGAAACCCUGAUGCAGCGACGCCGCGUGAGUGAAGAAGUAUUUCGGUAUGUAAAGCUCUCUCAGCAGGGAAGAAAGUGACGGUACCUGACUAAGAAGCCCCGGCUAACUACGUGCCAGCAGCCGCGGUAAUACGUAGGGGGCAAGCGUUAUCCGGAUUUACUGGGUGUAAAGGGAGCGUAGGUGGCAUGGUAAGCCAGAAGUGAAAACCCGGGGCUCAACCCCGCGGAUUGCUUUUGGAACUAUCAGGCUGGAGUGCUGGAGGGGUAAGCGGAAUUCCUAGUGUAGCGGUGAAAUGCGUAGAUAUUAGGAGGAACACCGGUGGCGAAGGCGGCUUACUGGACAGAAACUGACACUGAGGCUCGAAAGCGUGGGGAGCAAACAGGAUUAGAUACCCUGGUAU
RNAcentral lists this ribosomal RNA (448 nucleotides) under uncultured bacterium. RNAcentral's name for it is "bacterial SSU rRNA". It matches the Rfam family "Bacterial small subunit ribosomal RNA", at positions 329 to 793 of the family's 1533-position model. The record is from RNAcentral.